RNAcentral lists this small RNA (149 nucleotides) under Pongo abelii (Sumatran orangutan). RNAcentral's name for it is "processed transcript". Lineage: Eukaryota; Metazoa; Chordata; Mammalia; Primates; Hominidae. The record is from RNAcentral.
GAACAUUGUUCCAUGGCUUAAGAAGUACGGGACCAACCCCAGCAAUGGAGAGGUACUCUUUGGGGUUCCCAAACUUGUCGAUUGUGCUGGCCCUCAUACCCACAAAGUAUGUUCUGGCAGUUAGCCACGCUGUUAGGGCUUACAUGAGG